Molecule: ribosomal RNA, 329 nt
Filed under: uncultured eukaryote
Lineage: Eukaryota
Description: partial 18S ribosomal RNA
Rfam family: Eukaryotic small subunit ribosomal RNA
Source: RNAcentral
CCCUUAGAUGUUCUGGGCCGCACGCGCGCUACACUGACGAUGGCAACGAGUUUUUCCUUCGCCGAAAGGUGUGGGUAAUCUUUUGAAACAUCGUCGUGCUGGGGAUAGAUCAUUGCAAUUUUUGAUCUUGAACGAGGAAUUCCUAGUAAGCGCGAGUCAUCAGCUCGCGUUGAUUACGUCCCUGCCCUUUGUACACACCGCCCGUCGCUACUACCGAUUGAAUGGUUUAGUGAGGACUCCUGAUUGGCGCCGCCGCCCCGGCAACGGAGCAGCGGACUGCAGAAAAGUUGUUCAAACUUGAUCAUUUAGAGGAAGUAAAAGUCGUAACA